GCAGUCGACGGCAGCACAGUGUAGCAAUACAUGGGUGGCGAGUGGCGCACGGGUGCGUAACACGUAUGCAAUUUGCCCAUAACUGGGGGAUAGCCCUCCGAAAGGAGGAUUAAUACCCCAUAACCCAGCGAGGUGGCAUCACCUUUCUGGUAAAUCUCCGGAGGUUAUGGAUGAGCAUGCGUCCGAUUAGCUAGUUGGUGAGGUAACGGCUCACCAAGGCAACGAUCGGUAGGGGGUCUGAGAGGAUGAUCCCCCACACGGGUACUGAGACACGGACCCGACUCCUACGGGAGGCAGCAGUAAGGAAUAUUGGACAAUGGAGGCAACUCUGAUCCAGCCAUGCCGCGUGAAGGAUGAAGGCCCUACGGGUUGUAAACUUCUUUUCUCUUAGAAAAAACUACUGGUUUCGUACCGGUACUGAUUGUACAAGAGGAAUAAGCAUCGGCUAACUUCGUGCCAGCAGCCGCGGUAAUACGAAGGAUGCAAGCGUUAUCCGGAUUCACUGGGUUUAAAGGGUGUGCAGGUGGGGUAAUAAGUCAGUGGUGAAAGCCCCCGACUCAAUCGGGGAACUGCCAUAGAUACUGUUAUUCUUGAGUGUAGUUGAGGCGGAUGGAAUAUGACAUGUAGCGGUGAAAUGCUUAGAUAUGUCAUAGAACACCGAUCGCGAAGGCAGUCCGCCAAACUAUUACUGACACUGAAACACGAAAGUGCGGGGAUCAAACAGGAUUAGAUACCCUGGUAGUCCGCACCGUAAACGAUGAUCACUCGUUGUUGGCGAUACACAGUCAGCGACUAAGCGAAAGCAUUAAGUGAUCCACCUGGGA
This 824-nucleotide ribosomal RNA is filed under the name uncultured bacterium. Its description in RNAcentral is "bacterial SSU rRNA". It matches the Rfam family "Bacterial small subunit ribosomal RNA", at positions 57 to 878 of the family's 1533-position model. The record is from RNAcentral.